GACGAACGCUGGCGGCGUGCUUAACACAUGCAAGUCGAACGGAAAGGCCCUGCUUUUGUGGGGUGCUCGAUUGGCGAACGGGUGAGUAACACGUGAGUAACCUGCCCUUGACUUUGGGAUAACUUCAGGAAACUGGGGCUAAUACCGGAUAGGAUCUCCUGCUGCAUGGUGUGGGUUGGAAAGUUUCGGCGGUUGGGGCUGUACUCGCGGCUUAUCCGCUUGUUUGUGUGGUAGUUGCUUACCAAGGCUUUGACGGGUAGCCCGCCUGAGAGGGUGAACGGGCACAAUGGGAAUGCGGGAAGGAGCAGAAUGCAAAGGGGGGAAAGGGGGGGGAAAAUGGCGAAACGGGGGGGCGUGAGGUAGAGAGAACGCCGGUGCGGGAAGAAGGGCUUUGGGGUGAGAAAAAAUUUGGAAGGUGACAAAGAGGGAGUGACGGUAAAGGGGAAAAAAGCAACGGCUAAAUACGUG
This 468-nucleotide ribosomal RNA is filed under the name uncultured bacterium. RNAcentral's name for it is "partial 16S ribosomal RNA". It matches the Rfam family "Bacterial small subunit ribosomal RNA", at positions 28 to 507 of the family's 1533-position model. The record is from RNAcentral.